This is a long non-coding RNA of Phascolarctos cinereus (koala), 292 nucleotides long. RefSeq lists it as uncharacterized. The record is from RefSeq and is a predicted model, not a curated record. Lineage: Eukaryota; Metazoa; Chordata; Mammalia; Diprotodontia; Phascolarctidae.
CCGCCUCCUCCUGCUGACAGCCGAGCUCUGGCCUGUAACACAAGCCCAGGGGACAGCGGCAGACACAGGGAACUUGAUCCCGGUCCCAGUCAAUGCAGGGAAGAGAGCUCCUGGACCUGCAGUUAAGACGCUCGGCUCUGUCCACUCCCUUGGGUGACCUGGACCUGUUUCCACUUCGGGUGUGUCUUGGCAGGUAGAAGUGGGAUUCCUCAAGAGAGACACCUGGGUCGAGUCCAGGGCCCCAUGCAGGUGUGGGACAUGCCAGGAGGCCCAGCCACCGAGAAACAGAGCG